GUCCCUGUAGCGCAACGGAUAGCGCUUUAGACUUCUAAUUUACAGGUCGUGGGUUCGCAUCCCACCUGGGAUG
Molecule: non-coding RNA, 73 nt
Organism: Trichonephila clavipes
Lineage: Eukaryota; Metazoa; Arthropoda; Arachnida; Araneae; Nephilidae
Source: the annotation of a GenBank genome assembly